AGUGAACGCUGGCGGUAGGCCUAACACAUGCAAGUCGAACGGCAGCACAGUAAGAGCUUGCUCUUACGGGUAGCGAGUGGCGGACGGGUGAGGAAUACAUCGGAAUCUACUUUUUCGUGGGGGAUAACGUAGGGAAACUUACGCUAAUACCGCAUACGACCUACGGGUGAAAGCAGGGGAUCUUCGGACCUUGCGCGAUUGAAUGAGCCGAUGUCGGAUUAGCUAGUUGGCGGGGUAAAGGCCCACCAAGGCGACGAUCCGUAGCUGGUCUGAGAGGAUGAUCAGCCACACUGGAACUGAGACACGGUCCAGACUCCUACGGGAGGCAGCAGUGGGGAAUAUUGGACAAUGGGCGCAAGCCUGAUCCAGCCAUACCGCGUGGGUGAAGAAGGCCUUCGGGUUGUAAAGCCCUUUUGUUGGGAAAGAAAAGCGGCAGGUUAAUACCCCGCUGUUCUGACGGUACCCAAAGAAUAAGCACCGGCUAACUUCGUG
RNAcentral lists this ribosomal RNA (492 nucleotides) under uncultured bacterium. RNAcentral describes it as "partial 16S ribosomal RNA". It matches the Rfam family "Bacterial small subunit ribosomal RNA", at positions 29 to 507 of the family's 1533-position model. The record is from RNAcentral.